RNAcentral lists this unclassified non-coding RNA (214 nucleotides) under Hevea brasiliensis (rubber tree). The record is from RNAcentral. Lineage: Eukaryota; Viridiplantae; Streptophyta; Magnoliopsida; Malpighiales; Euphorbiaceae.
UUGAAAUCUCAACUGAACUAUAUAUACAACAGAGUAAAUUCAGGUAUCCAAACUACAGGAUACCAUAGUAUAUACCUAAACAAAAAUCUAUUUGUAAGAGAUUACAAAAAGAAGAAAAAAAAUCCCCUUGUGGUAUAGUAUGUCUAGGGAUACACUCUAAACUACAUCAGAAUCUUGAGUCCAUAAUAAUCUUUACAACAAAAGAAAGCUUCAG